UUCCAUCCCAAAACAGCCGUUUUUAUUCCCCUCCUCUCUUCUGUUUUCCCCCAGAGUUUCUUUUCUUUCUAAUUUCUCGUGGAGGCGAGGAGAUAGAGAAGAGAGAGAGAGAGAGAGGAAGGGGACGGAGGAGGAGGCGUCCCUCGCGAUUGGACAGGGCGCGAGGAACCCGAGGAGAGCGCGCGUGCGAUCCCCGAGGCGCGGGGAGUCGAUUCCGGCGCCGGGACAGUCUCGCCCUCGCCGGGCCGGCCGUUUCGAGCACUCUAUCACCGAGGAUUUGGUGGGAUCCGGCCAAGAGCUGGUUGGUGGAGGGGAGGGG
Molecule: ribosomal RNA, 319 nt
Filed under: Triticum aestivum (bread wheat)
Lineage: Eukaryota; Viridiplantae; Streptophyta; Magnoliopsida; Poales; Poaceae
Description: partial small subunit ribosomal RNA
Source: RNAcentral